RNAcentral lists this ribosomal RNA (468 nucleotides) under uncultured bacterium. RNAcentral describes it as "partial 16S ribosomal RNA". It matches the Rfam family "Bacterial small subunit ribosomal RNA", at positions 28 to 507 of the family's 1533-position model. The record is from RNAcentral.
GACGAACGCUGGCGGCGUGCUUAACACAUGCAAGUCGAACGGAAAGGCCCUGCUUUUGUGGGGUGCUCGAGUGGCGAACGGGUGAGUAACACGUGAGUAACCUGCCCUUGACUUUGGGAUAACUUCAGGAAACUGGGGCUAAUACCGGAUAGGAGCUCCUGCUGCAUGGUGGGGGUUGGAAAGUUUCGGCGGUUGGGGAUGGACUCGCGGGUUAUCAGCUUGUUGGUGGGGUAGUGGCUUACCAAGGCUUUGACGGGUAGCCGGCCUGAGAGGGUGACCGGGCACAUGGGGACUGAGAGACGGACCAGACUCCUACGGGAGGCAGCAGUGGGGAAUAUUGCACAAUGGGCGGAAGCCUGAUGCAGCAACGCCGGGUGCGGGAUGACGGCCUUCGGGUUGUAAACCGCUUUCGCCUGUGACGAAGCGUGAGUGACGGUAAUGGGUAAAGAAGCACCGGCUAACUACGUG